CUGGUUGUGAGUAUAUGGGGACGAAUGGCUGACAUUCAACAGCCAGAAUACAGGAAAGAGAAAUGGGGGAUAAGAUCCCCCAUUUUACUGUCUA
The sequence is a small RNA, 94 nucleotides long. It matches the Rfam family "sraA". The record is from Rfam.